RNAcentral lists this RNase P RNA (145 nucleotides) under Candidatus Thioglobus sp. RNAcentral's name for it is "partial RNase P RNA component class A". It matches the Rfam family "Bacterial RNase P class A", at positions 209 to 367 of the family's 367-position model. Rfam says of the family: Ribonuclease P (RNase P) is a ubiquitous endoribonuclease, found in archaea, bacteria and eukarya as well as chloroplasts and mitochondria. Lineage: Bacteria; Pseudomonadati; Pseudomonadota; Gammaproteobacteria; Pseudothioglobaceae (SeqCode). The record is from RNAcentral.
AACCCCACUUGGAGCAAGCUCAAAUAGGCUACCAUUGGUGCGGCUCGCACAAGGUAGCGGGUAUAGUGCUAAAGCGUUUUGGCAACAAUGCGCGUAGAUGAAUGACUAUCUAUUACAGAACCCGGCUUAUAGACCGACUUCACUU